Non-coding RNA from Zootermopsis nevadensis, 712 nucleotides. The record is from RefSeq and is a predicted model, not a curated record. Lineage: Eukaryota; Metazoa; Arthropoda; Insecta; Blattodea; Termopsidae.
AUAUGCGAAUUCGGUAUUACUUUCUCUAUACUGUCUAUAUGAGGGCCUCCAAUAUCAAAUCCCACCAAUAAUUAUAACUAAUUUAGAAUCACUGGUAUUCGGGAGGAACUCAACAUAAUGUUUACGAUGAGGUCAAAAUAUGUAAGCUUAUUAAGUCGGUCUGAUUUCACUCGUAUUGCGCAGAUUCGUGGCAAAUCCCGUUUAAAAAUUGAGGUUAGGUGCUUUCAGGCGUGUGCAACAGAAGUUGGUGUGUAUGCACUUGGCGAAGAGUGACGAUUACAACAAGCAUGUAGUAAGCAUGCCAAAUACUUAAGUUUUGCAACAUUUUUAAGAUACUUCUUUGCUAGGGAUCAACUGUGUCCCCAGCAGCCAAAGUUGUACAUUGAACUACAGCUGCAAAAACCUGAGGACAAGAAUUGAUACAUGACUUUGAAAAGGCUAUGCUGUAUUCUGUAAUACACAAACUUCGUGAUUUAAUGAAGGCGUGGAAUAUCUGAUGAUUGGAGUUGCCCACUUUCAGUGGUACAACUCACCUCUUCUACUCAGUCACAUGAAUCGAAUUCAUCUCAAAACAAAACCUCGACGGUUCUACGCAUUGAAGAUGCAACUAACGUCUCUCGAGUUCGACGGACGAACCGAUCGGUUAUAAAACAAAAUCUCGAUAACGAGGCCCUACCAACGAUCUGACUCUGACUUGCCUACGUGAUUACAG